Molecule: long non-coding RNA, 1135 nt
Filed under: Heterocephalus glaber (naked mole-rat)
Lineage: Eukaryota; Metazoa; Chordata; Mammalia; Rodentia; Bathyergidae
Description: lncRNA (ENSHGLG00000031518.2)
Source: RNAcentral
CAUACACUUAAUACCCAGAGGAAGCAAGCGGGUGUGGUGGGGGAUGCAAGGGCAAGCAGGGAGCCUAGAUGAGCAGCCUCAUCAAUCUGCAGGCUAAAGCAGCAGGAAGGGAUCCUUGGCAGUUCUGUUUAUUUGGCAAGAUUGGGACAUGACCUGAGCUUACACCAAAUUACCUCAUAGCAAAUUAUUUUUUACCAAGCACUGUAAAUGUUGGGAUGAGUACACCAGGCUCUUGGGCUGAGGGUAGAUGAAUACAUCAAAGACCUGGUAAUUAACCUCCAGGUGUGGUUGGGCGCUUGUCUCUCCUCUUUUAGGAAAGAGUUAAAUCCCAACUGCCUCCUCUCCACCCCUCAGGUGCAGCAUUUCUGGUUCCUUCGAGAGGGUGAGGAGAGCCUGCAGGCAUGCUGUGCACCUCUGCAAUUGCUAGUCCCAGGGUCACAGCAAGUGGAAGUGCAGAGCACCACAAACUGCUUUGAGCAGAGCCCACUUCCUUCAUCCCGGAGAGCAUGGAGCCGUUACACCAACAUCAAUCAAGGGGGACCCAGGCGCUGCACUCACACAGUUGAAGCAGGGGAGCAAAUCGAAGACUCACCCAGGAGCAGAGUGCUUUUGAGACAGAGGAAGAAGACAAAACAGCUCCCAGCUCAGCUUCUCUUGCCAUAUUCAGGAAUCACCACACGUGCUGUUAUAUUGGGCCUCAUUUUGUUUCCCUUUCCCCAACACCUGUGUGCUGUGCUUGUGGUGAGUCUUCACAGCCAAGUACAAUUUUUCCAGUUCAACUCCACUGAUCACUAUCAACAAGAAAGUGUAAGAGCUCAGAAGUCAUCUUGGAGGCCCCAGGCGAAGACCAGUCCUGCAACCUUGGAAGGCAGCUAUGGUCACCACUAUACCACCAACGCCACACCAGUCAUGCAACCUUGGGAUGUGCAGGGUUUGGGCAGCCAAGGCUUGCUGCACUAACCCUUUGCUGCAUGUGUUUCAACAGUGCCAUUUACUUGAUGAAUGUCUCUUUUCCGGCAGAUGACAUGAGAACAGUGCUUGUAACUGUUUCUGCUCAGCAUGAUAUUCAGAACCCUUAACAUGGUUACUGACAUACAGGAGGUGUCUGUAUUUGUUGAAUAAAUGAAUAAAGGAG